AUGUAAACCCUAAAUUUCUACCCUCUCACUCACUCAUACUCUCUCAGACUCUCAGUCACACUCUCUCUCUCUAUAAAAAUACCAAGUGCGCCGCUUGCUUAGUUGCUCCACUCCUCACCGUCUGAUCCUCUCUAUCUCUCAUCCUCUCUCAAUUCUUCGGUUCAUUCCUCUUCAUUCACUCGGGAAAUGGCUGAACUGGUUGACCAAAUAGGCUCAUCGGCCAUCCUCCUCCAAGGCUCCAACAAUAUCUAAUGUUAUGUUCUUGUUUUAAAAAACUCUAGUUACUGUAAUUUGUGCCUUUGAGGCAACUUUAUUUGGUCUGUAAAACUUAAUAAUUCGUUCCAACUUAUUAGUGUGUGCAAACUUAACUCCUAGACUUAUUAUAUUUUAACUCUUUAAGAGUUAAACUUUUGUGUAAGAUAUUCAGGUAUUUCUUAUCAGGAGCUGCUUGUAUGUUUGUAUAGGUUA
Long non-coding RNA from Spinacia oleracea (spinach), 468 nucleotides. RefSeq lists it as uncharacterized. Lineage: Eukaryota; Viridiplantae; Streptophyta; Magnoliopsida; Caryophyllales; Amaranthaceae. The transcript is spliced from 2 exons. The record is from RefSeq and is a predicted model, not a curated record.